GAUGAACGCUGGCGGCGUGCCUAAUACAUGCAAGUCGAGCGAACAGAUAAGGAGCUUGCUCCUUUGACGUUAGCGGCGGACGGGUGAGUAACACGUGGAUAACCUACCUAUAAGACUGGGAUAACUUCGGGAAACCGGAGCUAAUACCGGAUAACAUAUUGAACCGCAUGGUUCAAUAGUGAAAGGCGGCUUUGCUGUCACUUAUAGAUGGAUCCGCGCCGUAUUAGCUAGUUGGUAAGGUAACGGCUUACCAAGGCAACGAUACGUAGCCGACCUGAGAGGGUGAUCGGCCACACUGGAACUGAGACACGGUCCAGACUCCUACGGGAGGCAGCAGUAGGGAAUCUUCCGCAAAGGGCGAAAGCCUGACGGAGCAACGCCGCGUGAGUGAUGAAGGUCUUCGGAUCGUAAAACUCUGCUAUUAGGGAAGAACAAAUGUGUAAGUAACUGUGCACAUCUUGACGGUACCUGAUCAGAAAGCCACGGCUAACUACGUG
RNAcentral lists this ribosomal RNA (497 nucleotides) under uncultured bacterium. RNAcentral's name for it is "partial 16S ribosomal RNA". It matches the Rfam family "Bacterial small subunit ribosomal RNA", at positions 28 to 507 of the family's 1533-position model. The record is from RNAcentral.